RNAcentral lists this unclassified non-coding RNA (161 nucleotides) under uncultured Phacidiopycnis. RNAcentral's name for it is "sequence contains ITS1". The record is from RNAcentral. Lineage: Eukaryota; Fungi; Ascomycota; Leotiomycetes; Rhytismatales; Rhytismataceae.
AUGAGAUCAUGCCCCUCGGGGUAGACCUCCCACCCUUUGUUUACAAUACCUUUGUUGCUUUGGCGGCCCCGUCGCAAGACAACCGGCUCCGGCUGGUCAGCGGCCGCCAGAGGACCCAAAACUCAUAUUGUCAUUGUCGUCUGAGUACUAUAUAAUAGUUA